UGGGGAAUUUUGGACAAUGGGCGCAAGCCUGAUCCAGCAAUGCCGCGUGCAGGAAGAAGGCCUUCGGGUUGUAAACUGCUUUUGUACGGAACGAAACGGCUCUGGUUAAUACCCGGGGAUAAUGACGGUACCGUAAGAAUAAGCACCGGCUAACUACGUGCCAGCAGCCGCGGUAAUACGUAGGGUGCAAGCGUUAAUCGGAAUUACUGGGCGUAAAGCGUGCGCAGGCGGUUUUGUAAGACAGGCGUGAAAUCCCCGGGCUCAACCUGGGAAUGGCGCUUGUGACUGCAAAGCUGGAGUGCGGCAGAGGGGGAUGGAAUUCCGCGUGUAGCAGUGAAAUGCGUAGAUAUGCGGAGGAACACCGAUGGCGAAGGCAAUCCCCUGGGCCUGCACUGACGCUCAUGCACGAAAGCGUGGGGAGCAAACAG
This 428-nucleotide ribosomal RNA is filed under the name uncultured bacterium. RNAcentral's name for it is "bacterial SSU rRNA". It matches the Rfam family "Bacterial small subunit ribosomal RNA", at positions 355 to 775 of the family's 1533-position model. The record is from RNAcentral.